GUGGGGGACAACAGUUGGAAACGACUGCUAAUACCGCAUGACACUUUUGGGGGACAUCCCUUAAAAGUCAAAGCUUUAUGUGCUGAAAGAUGGCCUCGCGUCUGAUUAGCUGGUUGGUGAGGUAACGGCUCACCAAGGCGACGAUCAGUAGCCGGUCUGAGAGGAUGAACGGCCACAUUGGGACUGAGAUACGGCCCAGACUCCUACGGGAGGCAGCAGUGGGGAAUAUUGGGCAAUGGGGGAAACCCUGACCCAGCAACGCCGCGUGAAGGAAGAAGGCCUUCGGGUUGUAAACUUCUUUUACCAGGGAC
This 311-nucleotide ribosomal RNA is filed under the name uncultured bacterium. Its description in RNAcentral is "bacterial SSU rRNA". It matches the Rfam family "Bacterial small subunit ribosomal RNA", at positions 136 to 446 of the family's 1533-position model. The record is from RNAcentral.